Brassica rapa (field mustard) is the source of this 12638-nucleotide long non-coding RNA. RefSeq lists it as uncharacterized. The record is from RefSeq and is a predicted model, not a curated record. NCBI's taxonomy places the organism in Eukaryota, Viridiplantae, Streptophyta, Magnoliopsida, Brassicales, Brassicaceae.
AUAAUGUUUAGGCUAAAUUUUUGAUAAUUAUACAAUUUUAUAUCAUUUUUAUUAGUUUGAUACAAAUUGAUUUAAUAUAUAUCAAAUCUAUACUAAAUAUUAGUAAAACAUAGUAAAAUCUAUAAUAUUUAAUAAAAUUUAUUUUUAAUUAUAAGUUAGAUUUAAAAAAUUUCUUACUGCACAUGGUGCAGGAAAAAACCUAGUUAGAUAUAAAUUUUAAGUAGAAAAUUAAAUAGGAUUAAAAUUAAUUUCUCAAUAAAUUUCAGUAAUUUUUGUUGUUUACCCAAUCUUAUCAACUAUCAAUGUUCGUUUCAUUGUAAGAUUGGCUUGACAAAGCAAUGUAUCUGCAAUUAAAUGUGUGAGGUGGAUGAUAACGGUUACCAUGUGAAAUAAGAUUGGUUUAGUUGACUAAGCUAUCAAAACGGUUUUCAUCUUGAAGAAAUAGGUUGGAUAAGAAAUAAGAUGUCGUCUAACAACCAAUAAUUGUAUUUCAUAUAGUUAUCAAAGUGUUGCUUACUUUUUUUUACACCAAUUGCUUAUAUUAAAAUUAAAGGCCCAAUUAAUGGACUAAGUCAGUUACAACUGGAGAGAUCAUCGACGGCAAACUGAUAAAUGAAUAUAACUAAGAUAUGACGAAAGAUAGAUGUGGCUAUGGAGAGAAGAGAUCCAUAGAGAAGUUUCACUUGUAAUCCUAAAACCCAAGUUCGAAGAAACGCAAAGAAGUCGAGAUCGACGUUGAAGAACCCAACUAAUAGGUUUAGAGAGUAAGAAGUCUGUGAAACUCCGUAAAGGAUAACAGCUCUGGUGAGAGGUUCACAGUGACGACUAUGUAAAUAAUCGUUGAUGCUUGAGACAGUGUAAUGUAAUGGAGACUCAGCGGUGACGUAGUAAUGAGCAGAUCUGACGAGUUCACACUCUUGCACAGUAGUUCAUGCGACGAGGAAAGGGGUGGGGGAUCAUAGAGCGGACUCUAUAAAGAACCGUCGAUGCUUGAGACGGCAUAUUGUGAUGGAAACGCAGCGGUGAUGCAGUAGCGAGAAUAUCUGGUGAGUCCACACUCUUACAUAGAACUACUGGCGACAAGGAAAGGGAUGGGAGGAUCGUGAGGCCGGCUCUUUGAAGAACCGUCGAUGUUUGAGAUGGCAUAGUGUGAUGGAGACGCAGUGGUGGCAUAGAAGCGAACAAAUUUGGCGAAUCUACACUCUUGCACAGUAGAUCAUGAAGACGUUACGACAGUUGAAUAGAAAAAUGUUGAUUCAGAGCAGAGGGGUCGUCGCUUUAAACGAAAGCUUCACAAUGGAAGAUUCAGCGAACUAACCAAAGUCCAAAAGCUGGUUGUAGACCUGUAGAGUCUCGGCAGGGAAUGACGGAGAUGAGGUGACAUAAAUGGUAUUGGUGGUGCAUAGAUGACAAAGUGUGAUGAUGGCAGCAGCGUUGAAGGAGAUGCGACAAUGGGGUUGGAGGGGAACAAAGGAUUGGAACUAGAUAACAGUCGUGGACCAGACACAAAAGAUUCACCGGAGAUAGUAGAAGCAAUCUCCAGCUGGAGAGUAAGAACCAUCACGACUGUAUGGGGCGUGGUAGUGGUGGCUCAUUCCGGCCGACGAAAGUACCAACACAGAGCAGGUGGAGGUGCGUCAAAAACAGAGAAUCAAGCAGAUCUGUUAGGCACAUGCUUGAGCUGAGCAGUUUCAGAGUGUCCACUCGACCUAAGCAGUGCUGUGGCGGUGGCGAGGAGAGCAGAUGGAGAGACAGUGAGGCAAGAGGAAGCAGUGACAGUAACGAAGCGAACACGAGGCGUCAUGAUGGUAAGACGAACAAGAGAAGAGACUGUGGUGAAACAGGUGGAAGGAGCAACAAUGGCGAAUGGAGAAAAUGGAGGGUUAGUGACAGUGCCGAAGCUCAAUCGGAUUUUAGUGAUAUAUGGAUCUUGAAAUAUUAUAUUCAUUUGAUUGAAAAUGUUUUGAAUAUAAUACAAAUUUUAUUAAUUGUUGAAUUUUUCAAAUUCCUGAACAUUAUAUUAACAUUUUCUAUUUUUUUUAUUCCAGCAAUGUUAACUCCUCUCAACUUUUUUUCAGUGAGAUAUGUUCUCAAGAAGAAAAAACUGAAUGGAUUAAACUCCUUCAAUAGUAUCGAAACCCGAGAAUUGUUCUCAAACAAGAGGGUAAGAACAAAAGAAAGGGUAGGCCAAGUUGGAUUGUGAAUCCUAGCAAGUCUGAUCCUUCUUUUAAGUUUAAUCCUUAUUUGGAAUAUCUAAAAAGGAAGAAGACUUUUGAAAUAUCGUAUUCGGGUAUCUAUACUAUACUAAAAGCAAUAUAUCCUCAAAGGAGAGGGUGUCCACGUCCCCAAAUAAAAUCGACCAAUAAAAAUGAGUUCUGAUGCCACGUCAUUUUGUUUCUGCUGGGCCUAAAAUUCACAAUCCAAAUUAAGGGAAAAAACCCAUCCGAAUAAGAGAAAAAAAAAGAAACCCUGCUUCUUCGUCGACUGUCGAUCUCUUCCCCCUCUUUCAUCUUCUCCUGUAAUUCUCUAUUCAUCUUCCCACUUCGGUUUCUCCUCUUCGUUUCAUCCAUAAUCAAUCAUGGAUUUAUGAUUUUGCUUCUUAUUUAUACCAAAAUCCCCUUUCAUUUUCGCAACCCUAAUCAAAAAUCCCUUUUCCUUAUCAAAGAACCAUGUCGAUGAAGCCAAACGGCAAAUCAAUCAUCUCCUCCUCCGAUGACAACAGUGAUAAGAAAAACGGAUCUAAUCCACUUCUCUCCGCCGCGGUGAAAGCAAAGGGCAAGGCGCAUGUUUCCUCCGACGACAACCGCGAAGUUAUGUUUUUCAACGAAAUAUCCCUGGGCCCUCAAGGAGACGAUCUUGUUCUUCGUUGAAUGUUCUUUGUAUCAUGUUACUAAUCAUUUUUUUUUAAUUUAAUUGUCGCUUAUGCUCGAACUUCAAUUGUUUGCAGGGAACUGUAAUUCAAGGUUUUGUCCCACCGGGAAGGAUCAAAAAAUUCCUCCCGCAUAUGAGGCAAGGCUCUCUAUACACUCUCGCCAGCUUCUACGGAUCUAGAAACAAAGAUGGAGAAGGUCAUGCAUCCUGAUGUGAGAUCAAGUUUGAGUUGGAGGCUAAGGGAAGAAAUAUUUACAGGAGAAGAGAUAAUUUAGAGUAAUUGAAAGAUAAGAAACUAAAGACUCAGCUUGCUUCACGAGAAAAGUUCUAUGGCAAAUUUCUACUCUCUAACUUAUCAACAUCAAAGUUUCAACUAGAAUUCAAGCAUCGGCAUGAAGAAGUCAAAGUUGAUUUAGCAGAAGCAUGCAUGAUCCCAUGUUUCUCUCAGUCAAACUCAUUCCCAAGUGUGGAGUUUCUGUUCCUGAUGACAAGAGACUUUUCAAGUUAGUAAGCAUGUCUGGUGCUCUUGAGGAACUGUACUAUCGUGGAAAGACAUCCUUUCCCAAAAAAUAAUUAUUCAGGCUGGUUCUUAACAAGAAGAUAUUAGACAUACAAUUGCACGAGCUGGUAUCUCGACAUGGCGCUGUAACUAUUUAUUACCUUUACUUAUGUCAGUUUUAAUUUCUUUUUUAAUUGGGAAAAGUUGGAUUUUUAUCUCAUCCUGAACCAACCUGACUAGCAGGGGAAGAAUGUCAAUCAACAGAACCCAAAUUUUCUAUGAUCACCGGAUGAUGCUGAAAAGUUUUCAUUGUGUGGCUGACUAUUAGUUAAAUUUUUUUACAAGUUUGGAACUAAUAUAUAUUCUGAUUGGAACAUUUUUUUAGAGAAGCUAGACAAAGGGUUCUUAGUCAAAUAUUGUUUUCCCACUCUCUCGAGAGAAGUAAGUCCCAUCUAAAAUGCUUUGAAGUCUAUCUCUUUUUUUCCUUUGUUCUUUAGUGAGUGUUGUCAAGAUGAUGUUAAUCUUCCAGAUUGUGGUAAUGUAUUUUUUACUAUAGUUGCUCAUGUUUCCCUGUUGAAACCUUUAAAGAGAUAUAUGCCCAGAGGAUGUUAUUCUGAGGGCUGCUCAAAUGGAACAGAUAGUUGAGAAGGUAAGAAUCCAGUCACCUUUUCAAGUCAUAGUUCACCAUUCUUUACAUAUCAUCAAGUUUCUACCCAGUUUCUAUGGUGCUCCACACAUCUGAGAGACAUUGCAAUACUCUGUUUGUUUUCACAGGUUUGUGACGAGCGGCUUAAUACUGGAGUUUCAAAUAUUUCCGUUUAUUUUUACGAGCAGUUUCAUUUUUUCAAAGGUUGGAAGUUGACAAAUACUGUUUGUUUUACUUCAAGAAGUUAAACCACAAAAUGUCACGCUUAAAUUAUAAACAGAGAUUCUGACCCAAAAGAAAAACUAUAAGCAUGGGUAACUGUUAUGAAAAUAUAUGAUAACUUCAUAAGAAACAAAAUAAAGUUUUAAGUGGGUCCUAAGUGGUCGCUUCUCCUGCUUCCGCGAUAGGCCGGCCCUGGGUACAGUAGCAGAGAGAAUGUUAAAGAUGAUAUAUCAUAUAUCAUUCAUCUGUCAUUGUGCUAACUAAGCACAUGUGGGAGGAUUAGUCUUCAUGGGAUCAUCAAAGAAUUUUUUGUUUCAUUUUUCGCUUUUACAAUGAAGUUCCGAAGGAGAGAUAUUGGAUAUUAUCAUUGUAUUAAGAUUUUAUAAACUUGUGUUACAUAUAUAUUUCUUUGUAUUUAAAAGGAAAAAAACUAGGUGCUCACAUGAAUAAACUAACCUGUCAUAGCAGUUAUAAGCUGAUGAACUAUCACCUUUCUGUGGUCAAUUAAGAAAAGAAUAAAAAAGGGCAUGCAAAAGAAAAGAUAUUCAGAAAAUUGAAGUUGCGACCUGUAGUACCUAAAAUGAGUUCUACAUCACACCAAAUAAGUAAAGAAUGAAUGUGAAGGAAAUAAUUAAAAAGAAAAAAAAAACAAAGCAAAGAUUAAACAGAAAUUGAACCUAAUAACUAAAAAAACCAAAAUUCACAAACUAACAAAAUUCCAUUCUAUAUCCUCUUUCCGCAUCCCAUCUCUUUCUACUGUCUCUCUAAAAACUAAUUUUGUUUUUGGUUAUUUAAUAAAUAACCCCAAGUUUAAACUAUAUUUCCCGUAUUUAGAGUUUUAGUCAUAUUAGUUAUUUUUGGAUUAAAAAGUGAAUAAAUUUUAUAGUAACACAAACUGUUAAAUGAGACAAAUAUAGAUUUCAUAUUUUAACUACAAAUAUAUUUUAAAAUAAUAGACCUGAAAAACUAAAUGUCUAAAGUUAGGCUCAACAUAUAUUUUUUUAUAUAAUUUUCAGUUUUAAAUAUAUAAGAUAUGUACAUGUGUUUAUGAAAUUAGAUUUGGUUUUAGUUCAACUAUUUAUAAAUUAAUUUCUGGUUUUGAGAUUUUUUUAGGUAAAUUAUGAUAGUUAUACAAGAUUAUUUGAGUUUUCAGAUAACAUACCAUGUAAUUCAAGGUUUUCAUAUAGAAAUGUGGGUAAACUACAUUCCCCAUAUUUAGUGUGGUAGUCGUAUUAAUGUAUGGAUUCAAAAUUGAAAAUCUGUUUUAUAAUAACACAAAAUGUGUGUAAAUGGAAAAUAUUAAAAUUUAUAUUUCAAUUUAAAUCAAACAAAAACACAAAAGACAGUAAAAUGAGACACAACAGGUUAAAAUAGAUAUGUGGAACAUUUUAAAAAUUUAAUACGAAUUCCAAAUAAAACAAUUAACAUAUUGGGACAAAAAAAUGAAAAUUUUAAAACACUAAAAGCAUAUAAUCCGCGCGUAGCGCGGACACGGACCUAGUUAUGUUAUAGAAGUAAAUGUUACCACUACUGAUUUUAUUUCUUGGGUAUUGGAUAUCGGUUCUCGUGCUCAUAUUUGUACAAAUAUGAAUAGUCUAAGCAACAAUAGAAUUUUGGAGAAAUGACAAGUGGACCUACGCAUGGGAAACGGAGCAAGAGUUGCUGCAUUACCGUGGGAACAUUUCAUUUGUCUUUACUUUAAGCUUGGUAUUAGAACUUAAGAAUUGCUACUAUGUAUCUACUAUAAGUACGAAUAUUAUUUUCAUUCCUUGUCUGAAUUUGGAAGGAUUUCAAUUUUCGAUUAAAAAAUGUAUUGUUCUUUUGAUCGUAAUGAUAUUUUUAUGGUAGCGGCUCAUUAGAGAAUAGACUUUAUAUUCUAGACCAAAGCAUGUCUGUCUAUAACAUUAAUUAGUACCACAAGAUUCAAGUAUAAUGACAUGAAUCAAAUCUUUUGGCAUUGUCGUUUGGGUUACAUAAAUGAGAAGCCCAUUCAAAAGCUUCAUAAUGAUGGACUUUUGAACUCAUUUGAUUAUGAAUCAUAUGACAAAUGUGAAACUUGUUCAUUGGGUAAAAUGACUAAGGCUCCUUUUACUGGACAUAGUGAAAGAGCUAAAGACUUGUUUGAACUUGUACAUUCUGAAGUAUGUUGAUCAACGAGUAUAAUUGCUAGAGGAAACUAUCAGUCCUUCAGUAGAUAUGGUUAUUUUUAUCCAAUGAUAUAUAAGUUUGAAUCUUUUGAAAAGUUGAAAGAAUUUCAGAGUAAAGUAUAAAUCAGCUUGACAAGAAAAUAAAAGCUCUUCGAUCUGAUCGAGGUGGAAGAUAUUUGAUUCAAGCGUUUAAUGAUCAUCUGAGAGCAUGUGGAAUUGGUUCAUAACUCACUCCUCCAAGAAUACCACAAUUGUGUGUGUAUACGAAAGAAGGAACCAGACUUUAUUAGAUAUAGUUCAAUUUAUUAUAAGUCAUACAGAUCUUCCAUUAUCCUUUUGGGGAUACGCUCUAUAAUGUAUGCAUUUAUGCUAAAUAGAUGUCUAUCAAAAUAAGUUGAGAAGACACCAUAUGAGAUUUAAACAAGAAAAGUUCCAAAUUUGUCUUUUCUCAAAAUUUGGAGUUCUGAUGCUUAUGUCAAACGUAUGUUUACUGAUAAGCUUGGACCCAAAUCUGAUAAAUACUACUUCCUUGGUUAUCCAAAAGAAACCAUGUUAUUACUUUUACAACUCCACCGAGACAAAGUGUUUGUUUCUCGAAGUAGCGUUUUCUAUAAAGAGAAUUUCUUUCCAAGAAGAACAGUGGAAGUAAAGUACAACUCUAAGAAAUUCAAAAAACGCAGGAGGUUGUUUUCAUCUUCUCAAGAAGAUAACCAAUUAGAUUUAUAUAAGAGUCGUAGAAUCUUCACAUGUGAAACCGGAGGUAUGUAGGUCCAAAAGGACACCUCACAAACCUGAUAUAUAUGGGGUUUGAGUGACAGAUAUACAGAAAGUUUAGGGUACUGGAUCCGGUCGGAUCGAUGAUUUUAGUAUCCGGAUAUGUGCCUUCUGGAUAUCCAGGUCACGGAUAUUCGUCUACAUAUUGUAUUACGCGUGAGUAUCGGGAUCCGGAUUUGGACCCGUAUAGAAAUAAAAAAUAUUUUUAAAAUAUUAAAUUCUAAAAAUAAUACAUAAAUUAAAUAUCUAUACAAAAUUUAUAUUUUAUAUAUAUAUAUAUAUAUGAUUACAAAACUAAAUAUAAUACUACAAGACUAAUUUAUGUAUAAAUAUUAAUAUAUCAACUACAAUUAUUAAUAAAUAAUACAUAAAUUAAAUAUCUAUACAAAAUUUAUAUUAUAUAUAUAUAUGAUUACAAAACUAAAUAUAAUACUACAAGACUAAUUUAUGUAUAAAUAUUAAUAUAUCAACUACAAUUAUUAAUAAAAUUUAAUAUAUUUAAAAAAUUCUGAUUCUGAUCAGAAUAUCAAGAUUUAAAAAUUGAUUCAGAUCCGUUUUCGGCGGAUCUGACAUUUUACUAUCCAAAUUUGGAUCCAGUCACCCUUGAUACCCUAUUUUCAGAGCGGAUCUCGGAUUGGAUUCGGGUCCUAGAUAGGCCCUACUAUUUUAUGCUUUAUACUAGCGUGAAAAUAACAAACUCAAAGGCUCUCACCUUGUUGCGUCCAAGGCGCCACGAGACUCAAUCAAAAGCGCACCAUGGCGAGGGCCUUGCCAAAUUACCAUCGCCAUAAAGGUUAAUGCCGUUAUGACAGUCGCCAUGGUGCGUCUUGUGCCUUGACGCUCAACUUUUAAAGAAUGCAUUACACUAGGGGUGGCUGUCGGAUAGCUGUUAGGAUUCGGGUUGGAUAUUUCGGAUGUUUGGGUAUUUUGGUAUAGAAGUAUAAAACCCGUUCGGAUAUUUCUAUACUUCGGGUUGGUUUUGGAUAUUUUUAGCUCGGGUUCAGGUAUUUCGGAUAUAACCGAAAAGCCAAAGCAUUUGAUAAAAAUUUCGAACUACCGAUAAUUUUUUUUAAAAACCACAUAAUUAUUGCAAAAAAAAAUACUGUUUCUUCUCUUGCUUUUGUUACGUAACACGACCAAGAGUAACAAGGAAAGCUCCAUGUAUGGAAACUAUCCCUCUGUAUGAAGAACGACAAGAUGGUUCAAGGUGUCUCUGGUUGUUACAGUGACGUUUAUGGUGGUUAUUGUCGAUGGCGGUAACAACUAAUGUCUCCGAGAAACCUUUCAUAGAUCAUGAGAAUAACAAUAUUUUAGGAAAUAAAAUCUUGUAUGGAGAGAAGAUGAGAAAUGGGAGAUGCAGAUGGUGCCUUAAUAUCUCACAUUUAAGAAAGAGAUACAUAUUUAUAUAUAUGUGGACACGUUUAGGUUAGGGAAAAUAGUGAUUUAGUAUUGAUUUUAUAUAUAUUUUUUUUUUUGACAGCAAAGAAUUUACAGACUCAUGUUGACUCUGUAAACCAAUUUGGUAACUCUGCAUCCAUGUGAACGACAAAGGACGAUUGUUUCCUAGCACUGCGUGCUAAGCUAUCCGCCCAAAGGUUCGCCGUCCGAGGAACAUGAACGAUGUCUGAGUUGAGGAAACUUCUUUUGAGAAGUUUUAUAUCUUCCAAAUAGCUUUCGAAUGCUGGCCAUUCUUCUGGUUCCGAAACCAUCUUCACCAAUUGGGAACAAUCCGUCGCAAACGUGACCUGUGACUGUCUUAAGUUCUUCAUACAUUCCAUUGCCCAAAUCAAGGCUUCUACCUCCGAAUGGAGGGGUGAGAGACAUGCCCUUACAUUCCUUGCCCCUAACAGACCAUCAAACCCCUGUAAAGUGCUAUACCAACCUUGCCCUAAAAAAGAAUCCUUAUCUUUCCAUGAACCAUCUAUGAAACACCAUCGACCUUGUGUUUACAUAAAUUGGAUGAAAGAUUAAUUAAGGGAAAAUUGUCAUUACAUAAAUUGGAUGAAAGAUAUAGAUUUGGGUUAAAGCAUACAUAUCUUCGGUUGACUUCAGAUAUUAUUUCGGGUUUCGGAUAUACCUGAUAGGGUUCGGGUAUCCAAACUUGUUCAAUACAAAACCCGUUCGAGUAUUUUGCUACUUCGAUUCGGAUUCUGGUUCAGUUUUUCGGAUCGAGUUCGGAUUCGAAUUUGGAUGUCAGAUAAAAUGCCCAGCCCUACAUUGCACUAUAAGAUACUUUUGUCUUUUCUUUAAGAUCCAAAGUCACAUUCCAAUUGAGAAGUAUUUUUUGUGUCUAUGAGAAUACUUGGGGAGUUUGAAUGCGGUAAUAUGGUAAAACUUCAGAUCCAUCAAAACUAAAUCCGGAUUCGAAUAUCUUAAUUUUUCCAGAUUACCGGAUCCAUAUUUCAAAUAUAUUAAAUUUAAUUUUUAUUAAUAAUUAUAUUGAUAUAUUAGUAUUUAUGCAUAAAAUUAUUUUUUUGAUAUAAUAAUUUUUUAAUAUUAUAUUUUAUAUAUACAUAUAAUAUUUAAAUUAAGUAUUAUUUUUAGAAUUAUAGUAUUAAAAUAUUUUUACAAAUCUGGAUCCAGAUAUUAUAGUACGAUAUCUAAAUGGAUAUCCGGAUCCGGAUACCCAAAAUUGGUUGGAUAUCCAGAUCUGUCUCAUCCCUAGUUGUAGCCUUGUAGGCAUGGGCUUUUUAACCUGGACCUGAAGACCCGAACCGAAACCGACCCAAAAAUACCCGACCCGGAACCGGACCAAAAAUUACAAGUACCUUUUGGGUCUAAAUUUUUUUUACCCGAAAGAACCGGAACCAAAAGGAACCGACCCGAAUAGACCCGGACCCAAAAAUAACCGACCCGAAUAGACCCGACCCGAUAAAAACCGAUUUGUACCCGACUUAGAAACAUGUAUAUCUAAAACUAUGAUGUUUUUGUGUUCUAUUUUAUAUAUAUUAUUUUAUGAUUAGUUGAAAUAUCUUUUGUUAACAAUAUUUGUUAUUAUUUUUUAACAUUUUUAAGUAAUAUAAAGCUUUAAAAUGUAAAAUUUAGAGUUUAAAAAUGUUUUAUUUUCAUUAUUAAUAGUUUCAUUGAAGUUAUUUUUUAAAAUUUUAGAUAUAUAUGACAAAUAUCAACUAAAUUUGACGGAAUUGGAUAUAUAUAUAUAUAUAUUCACAAUUUAGUUAGGAUAUUUAUUUUGUGUUAGGUUUAUAGAUAUGUUAAUUUUUUAAUUAACUUUUAAUUAAAAACAGUUUUUUUUUGUUUUCCAACAAUUUUGUUUAUAAUUAUUUAACAUUUUAAUAUAUAAAUAUAUAAUAUAUAUAUACAAAAUAAAGUCUAUUUUUUGUUUUCUAUUUUGAUAUCCACAUGUAUAUAUUUAUAUAGUUACUUUUUUAACGUGUUAUUGUGGACAUCAUAUUGUGGAUAGAAGAGUUAUAUACAUAAUAUGGAUAUUAACAUAGUGUGGAUGUGGAUGGUUAUUAAGAUUCUUUGAAUAUGUUUUGUGUUAAUUUGUUAAAUAACACUAUACAGUAGUAUAUUAUAUGGACAAACAGAUAAUUAAAACAAAUAAACACUAAAUAUAUAUCCAAUUACAUAUAUAAUUAUAAAAAGAACAAAGAUAAGAUGUAUAAGAAAAAUUGUGGAUGAAUGAGUUGUGGAUGAAUGAGAUAUGGAUGGACGAGUUUACACAUACUUCUCACAGAUCGGUAAGAGAUUCAUCAAAGAUAAAGACAUGUUUUUACCUUUGUUAUCUCUUUGCUUUGAGUCCUUGAGAUUCGAAAUUGUUGAGAUCAACAUGUUCACGAGGAGCCUUUCCAUCUGCUGUGCUCUAGUACUUACUUGACAUGUCAAACACCUUUUGUUAAAACUCCCGACGUAGAUACUCGGAUCAAUCUGUCCAAAAGGACAUGGCCACCAUUUAAACAUCAACGAUGUUUAGAUUCCCUCUUAUUUAAUAAUCACAAGUAUUACAUAUACCUUCUGUUCCACUUUUACUUUCGUCCCUUCUCCAAUUAUCUCCUGAAGGGACUCAGUUCCUUCUCCUCGGCAGGGGAAUCGACUAAUCGUUUCAAAACAUUUCUUAAAUAAAUAUAAAAGAAAAUUACUAGAAUGUUAUAGAAAAGUUGGUUUAUUACUAGAGUGUUAUGCAUCUUUUUAAAAUUAGUACAAUGUUUAGAUAUCCCUAGUAAUUAUUUUUGGUUAGUUUAUGUUUAGACAAUAAAGAUAUUUGGUUAGUUUUCUUUUUAACUAAAAUUAUUUUUAAACACUAAAUCCACGUCAGUAAUAACAAUCCACAUCAACGAAUCUAUCGUUUGAUUAUCUUAUAACUUCUUAACCUAACACACAAAUCUCAUUUGACCAAAAAAAAACACACGCAAAUCUCUCUCUCUCUGUGACGCCUCUUCUCGUCCAAUCCAUCACGUUUGACCUCCUCACCACCACCACCAUCUCUCCUUCCGCUCGUCACCACCACCACCACCGCUCAUUCACUCGUCACCACCACCAUCGCCAUCUUUCCCAUCCGUCAUCGUUCGUCACCACCACCAUCGCUUCUCAGAUUCGUCACCACCACCAUCUGCCAUCUCUCUCUCUCUCUCUCAACGAUCUGAUUCUCUUCUUCUUUUCCACUCUUGUAGUGCUCUCUCCUUCUCUCUUUCUCUCCUUUGAAUCUGAUUUUGAUUUGUUUUUUUGGUAAAGGAAGUUGGAGGAAGCAAAAGAGGCCUGACGAGACGAGGUGACUGGAGGUCGCUCUUUUCUUCCAUCACCGAAGUGCCACAGACCAAGUGGGAUUUGUAGUUGUUAAAGUCUGCUACUUUGGAUUGUUCUUUGCUCAAGGUUGAGGCGGAGAGAACAGAUCCGGAGGCGAAGAGGAGGUCGGAGAGAAGACAGAGCCAGAGGCUGGAGAAGACAGAACAUGUGGCGGCUGGAGUCUUUUUUUUUCUUUUACGUUUAGUUUUUUUUUUUAAUUUGGUUUAGUGUAAACCGAGAUAGGGAAAUUGUAGUGGUUUGAUUUUACUUUUAAUUUCUGCUUUAGUUUUUUUUUUUUAAUUUGGUUUAGCGUAAACUGAGAUAGGGAAAUUGUAGUGGAUUGAUUUUACUUUGUUUACAGAUUUAUUAAGGAGCAGGGAAGAAGAAGCAGUGGGGUGACAUAGCCAGCGUCUCCGGUCGAGCAUGGUGGUGCAAGCAGGUGGUGGUCGUGCGUUGGAGAUGCGAGCAGCAUGGUCGCGGUGUGGUGAGUGCGGCGGCGACUGAAGAAGUAAAUUAGGUUUAGUUAGGGUUAAUUAGGUUUAGCUUGAUCUUGAAAUAUAUGUUCUCUUACAAUCACUUAUACAAUUCUUACUUACAAGACUCUAACUUCACAAGUUGAUAAGAAUUGUAUAGUUUCUUGAAAUUGACGGCUGAGUUAUGUAAAGUAUGCAUAAUUCAACCGUAACGUUUCUAUAAGUCAACCCUAUAAGUCAGCCGUCAACGGUAAUUUUUUCGC